CGGGGUGCACCAGGCGCGAAACCUUCGCAAUGCGCGAAAGCGCGACGAGGUUAUUCCGAGUGAUUUCCGCUGAGGAAAUCUUUUCUUAGAUCUAAAUAGUCUGGGGAAUAAGGGGAGGGCAAGUCUGGUGUCAGCCGCCGCGGUAAUACCAGCUCCUCGAGUGGUUAGGGCGUUUAUUGGGCCUAAAGCAUCCGUAGCCUGCUCAGUAGGUCUCCUGUUAAAUCCACCGUCUCAAACGUUGGUCUGCAGGAGAUACCGCUUGGCUAGGAGGCGGGAGAGGCGGACGGUACUCCGAGGGUAGGGGUAAAAUCCUUUGAUCCCCGGAAGACCACCAGUGGCGAAGGCGGUCCGCCAGAACGCGCUCGACGGUGAGGGAUGAAAGCUGGGGGAGCGAACCGGAUUAGAUACCCGGGUAGUCCCAGCCGUAAACGAUGCGAGCUAGGUGACACAGGGCCUUAGGGGCACUGUGGUGCCGCAGGGAAGCCGUUAAGCUCGCCGCCUGGGGAGUACGGUCGCAAGACUGAAAAAGGAAUUGGCGGGGGAGCAC
Molecule: ribosomal RNA, 547 nt
Filed under: uncultured archaeon
Lineage: Archaea
Description: bacterial SSU rRNA
Rfam family: Archaeal small subunit ribosomal RNA
Source: RNAcentral